RNAcentral lists this long non-coding RNA (247 nucleotides) under Salvia miltiorrhiza (redroot sage). RNAcentral's name for it is "long non-coding RNA (SMIL_LNC011317)". The record is from RNAcentral. Lineage: Eukaryota; Viridiplantae; Streptophyta; Magnoliopsida; Lamiales; Lamiaceae.
UGCUACAAUUCUUUAGCAUUUUCAACUGUCACCUUUGCUUUUUCGACUGCCACCUCAACUUUAAUUUGGACAAAAUUGCAAAUUGUGGACGAUUAAGAACAAAUUAAAAAUUGAUGUAUUUAUUGAUCAAAUUAAAAAAUGAUGAUAUGAAUCAAAAAAUGAAAAAAAAAAAUGUAUUUUCCGGCUAUUACCCCAUUAUUGAAACCCCUCUUGCAUAUCUUCAAUUUCCCAUUAUCCAAGAACCAAC